RNAcentral lists this ribosomal RNA (522 nucleotides) under uncultured fungus. RNAcentral describes it as "SSU rRNA". It matches the Rfam family "Eukaryotic small subunit ribosomal RNA", at positions 569 to 1092 of the family's 1831-position model. The record is from RNAcentral. Lineage: Eukaryota; Fungi.
AGCAGCCGCGGUAAUUCCAGCUCCAAUAGCGUAUAUUAAAGUUGUUGCAGUUAAAAAGCUCGUAGUUGAAUUUCGGGAUCAAUAUAUUGGUCGUGCCUCCGGUAUGCACUGGUAUCAUUGAUUUCUACCUUCUGACGAACUGUGAUGUCAUUAAUUUGGUGUCAUGGGGAAUCAGGACUGUUACUUUGAAAAAAUUAGAGUGUUUAAAGCAGGCACACGCUUGAAUACAUUAGCAUGGAAUAAUGAAAUAGGACGUUUGACCCUAUUUUGUUGGUUUCUAGGAUCGACGUAAUGAUUAAUAGGGAUAGUUGGGGGCAUUAGUAUUCAAUUGUCAGAGGUGAAAUUCUUGGAUUUAUUGAAGACUAACUACUGCGAAAGCAUUUGCCAAGGAUGUUUUCAUUAAUCAAGAACGAAAGUUAGGGGAUCGAAGACGAUCAGAUACCGUCGUAGUCUUAACCAUAAACUAUGCCGACUAGGGAUCGGAUGAUGUUAAUUUUUUAAUGACUCAUUCGGCGCCUUACG